RNAcentral lists this unclassified non-coding RNA (331 nucleotides) under soil metagenome. Its description in RNAcentral is "partial contains 5.8S ribosomal RNA, internal transcribed spacer 2, and large subunit ribosomal RNA". The stretch from base 1 to 120 matches the Rfam family "5.8S ribosomal RNA", at positions 35 to 154 of the family's 154-position model. The record is from RNAcentral.
GAUGAAGAACGUAGCGAAAUGCGAUAAGUAAUGUGAAUUGCAGAAUUCAGUGAAUCAUCGAAUCUUUGAACGCACAUUGCGCCCCCUGGUAUUCCGGGGGGCAUGCCUGUUCGAGCGUCAUUUCAUCACUCAAGCCUCGCUUGGUAUUGGGCAACGCGGUCCGCCGCGUGCCUCAAAUCGUCCGGCUGGGUCUUCUGUCCCCUAAGCGUUGUGGAAACUAUUCGCUAAAGGGUGUUCGGGAGGCUACGCCGUAAAACAACCCCAUUUCUAAGGUUGACCUCGGAUCAGGUAGGGAUACCCGCUGAACUUAAGCAUAUCAAUAAGCGGAGGA